UUUAACGGCUGCGGUAUUUUGACCGUGCGAAGGUAGCGCAAUCACUUGUCUUUUAAAUGAAGACCUGUAUGAAUGGCACGACGAGGGCUUAACUGUCUCCUUUUUCCAGUCAAUGAAAUUGAUCUUCCCGUGCAGAAGCGGGAAUAAUAUCAUAAGACGAGAAGACCCUGUGGAGCUUUAGACACUAAAUCAGCCCUUGUCCAAAAUCCCAAUUAAAGGAAUGAACACUAGAGUGAGACCUGAUCUAAUGUCUUCGGUUGGGGCGACCUUGGGGAAAGAAAAAUCCCCCAUGCGGAACGGAAAUACUAUGUUUCCAAAACUAAGAGACACCACUCAAAGUAUCAAAAAUUUUGACCAACUAUAUGAUCCGGCUUAACGCCGAUCAACGGACCGAGUUACCCCAGGGAUAACAGCGCAAUCCUCUUUUAGAGCCCAUAUCGACAAGAGGGUUUACGACCUCGAUGUUGGAUCAGGACAUCCUAA
Molecule: ribosomal RNA, 483 nt
Filed under: Amphiprion chagosensis (Chagos anemonefish)
Lineage: Eukaryota; Metazoa; Chordata; Actinopteri; Pomacentridae
Description: partial 16S ribosomal RNA
Rfam family: Bacterial large subunit ribosomal RNA
Source: RNAcentral